RNAcentral lists this long non-coding RNA (985 nucleotides) under Manacus vitellinus (golden-collared manakin). Its description in RNAcentral is "lncRNA (ENSMVIG00005008742.1)". Lineage: Eukaryota; Metazoa; Chordata; Aves; Passeriformes; Pipridae. The record is from RNAcentral.
UUUUCUUCUGCUGAAAAGCUAAUUUAUUCUGAGCUCUUGGUUUUUUUUGUUCAUGUGCCUAAUGUAUGUUUUGAGGAGAAGUUAACUGCAAGUUGUUAAAGCGCCUUUUGAUUCUGCCAUCAAACCAAAUAGCCACAGGCAGCCAGCACUGGUGCAAGUAGCCUAGCUGGAGUCAUUGUUGAACGUGAAUGCAGCUGUCCCAUAGCACUUGUACAGGAGUCUCUGUUGAAAGUGCAACAACUUUCUACAGAUUCGAGGGCUGGAAUCUGACCCCUGGUUGUACUGACACUUGUGUGCUUUGUAGAGCUGUGAACUGAUAUUCCUUUGGUCUUGCUCCGAGUGGGCUGUGUCCACGCUGGUGUAUGGCCUUGUUCCGAGCUGUGGAGGAUGCGAAGGAAUCUGGAGAGACUGCCGCUUCUUUCUGCUCUCAACCCUCUCUCCCUGCUCCCCUCCAUUUUCAAGCUUUCUAAAGGGCAAUAUUUCAACACUAAUGUUGUUUCUCAGCAGGGUGUGCAGUGGUGGCUCUGGACCCAGGGGAGCGUGUGGCUGCCAGAUGGGAAUAUGUGGAUGGGCUGCUCCUGCCCCCUGCCCAGCGAGGAUGAGGAUGGAGCAAGGCAGGAGGAGGAUGGGCUGCUGCUCCCAGCUGCUGAAGGGGAAACCUCUGUCCCUGGUGUGUCAUCUGUAGGUGACCCCCUGGGCUAGGAGAGCUGCUCCAGCUGCCGUGGCUGCAGGCACCAUGCCUGUGGCUGCUGGGCUGCCCAGUCUCAGGUCAAAGGGGGUGCAAAAUGCUUUAGUGGUCCAGCGUGUCCUCUCAGCUGAAGAACAGGGAAGAAUGGAAGACAAUGGGGUUGGAGCUCUCCGAGGGCAUUUCCACUGCAGACUGUGAUCCUCCUGCUCCAUCAAGCCCUCGGAUUGGUGCAGCAGGGGCUGGGUCAAGCUUCACAAACUCACCUUUCAACACAGUUUUUGAUUCGCAAGGUUUCUU